ACAGAUCGUUCAGAGUUUGAUCCUGGCUCAGGACGAACGCUGGCGGCAUGCCUAACACAUGCAAGUCGAGCGAGUGGAGUUCUUCGGAACAAAGCUAGCGGCGGACGGGUGAGUAACACGUGGGCAACCUACCUCAUAGAGGGGAAUAGCCUUCCGAAAGGGAGAUUAAUACCGCAUAAGAUUGUAGCUUCGCAUGAAGUAGCAAUUAAAGGAGCAAUCCGCUAUGAGAUGGGCCCGCGGCGCAUUAGCUAGUUGGUGAGGUAACGGCUCACCAAGGCGACGAUGCGUAGCCGACCUGAGAGGGUGAUCGGCCACAUUGGGACUGAGACACGGCCCAG
Molecule: ribosomal RNA, 338 nt
Filed under: uncultured bacterium
Lineage: Bacteria
Description: bacterial SSU rRNA
Rfam family: Bacterial small subunit ribosomal RNA
Source: RNAcentral